RNAcentral lists this ribosomal RNA (496 nucleotides) under uncultured bacterium. RNAcentral describes it as "partial 16S ribosomal RNA". It matches the Rfam family "Bacterial small subunit ribosomal RNA", at positions 28 to 507 of the family's 1533-position model. The record is from RNAcentral.
GAUGAACGCUGGCGGCGUGCCUAAUACAUGCAAGUCGAGCGAACAGACGAGGAGCUUGCUCCUCUGACGUUAGCGGCGGACGGGUGAGUAACACGUGGAUAACCUACCUAUAAGACUGGGAUAACUUCGGGAAACCGGAGCUAAUACCGGAUAAUAUAUUGAACCGCAUGGUUCAUAGUGAAAGACGGUUUUGCUGUCACUUAUAGAUGGAUCCCGGCCGCAUUAGCUAGUUGGUAAGGUAACGGCUUACCAAGGCAACGAUGCGUAGCCGACCUGAGAGGGUGAUCGGCCACACUGGAACUGAGACACGGUCCAGACUCCUACGGGAGGCAGCAGUAGGGAAUCUUCCGCAAUGGGCGAAAGCCUGACGGAGCAACGCCGCGUGAGUGAUGAAGGUCUUCGGAUCGUAAAACUCUGUUAUGAGGGAAGAACAAAUGUGUAAGUAACUAUGCACGUCUUGACGGUACCUAAUCAGAAAGCCACGGCUAACUACGUG